AGGAUGGCUCGCUCUUGUCCUCCCCGUUCUUCAAGGGAUUCCUGGCAGGAUACAUGGUGGCCAAACUGAGGGCAUCUGCAGUAUUGGGCUUUGCAGUGGGCACUUGCACUGGCAUCUACGCGGCUCAGGCAUACGCUGUACCCAACGUGGAGAAGACACUGAAGAACUACUUUAGGUCACUACGAAAGGGGCCUGACUAGCCCCUGUGGAGAAGGCAGGAUGAGCAUGUUGGGCCUGCAGGUAGAGACCUUCCUGUCACAGCCACUCUGCCUGGCUCCCUCUGCUGUUCAUGUGCUAACCCCACCCCUCCUGCCUCUUUCCUCCCUGCCUUUCUUCCUGCAGAGAGUGGACAAUGCAUUGUCAGCCUGCACCCUACACUCCUUCCCUCCCUAGUUCCAUGGGACUGACCCCAAAACUACGGGUCAUGAACCCCCUCUUCAAGACCUAACUGGAAUGUGCAGCUGUCUCUGAU
RNAcentral lists this long non-coding RNA (472 nucleotides) under Rattus norvegicus (Norway rat). RNAcentral describes it as "long non-coding RNA NONRATT013365". Lineage: Eukaryota; Metazoa; Chordata; Mammalia; Rodentia; Muridae. The record is from RNAcentral.